AUUGGAUGUUAUUUUAAUGUACAAAAAAUUUUUGCAUACGAACAUUAAUCCUGAAGCUGGGAACAGAGCAGGGGGACAGACAGAUAUAGGGGAGGUAAUGCUGAUGCGUGUGACGAGGGAAGGCAGAUGUGCGUAGUGAUGGUGGCAGGAGUGCAUAAUGCUGGGGACCCUGGAGCCUUCGAGGGACAGGGAGCGGGAGCAGGCGUGACAAAAGUAGAUGCUUUUUCAAUUUGGAACUGACCCACAACCAUGACCCUGACCUGAAGAACUUGUUAUCCAGCGCUGGGAUCAGUGAAGACCACCUGACCAACGCAGAGACCUCCAGACUAAUCUAUGUUUCGAUCAGUCUUGGGGGCUAGAUGCCGUCAAAGAGGAGAUGAGGAGACAAGACUACAGCUCAGCGUUCAACACCAUAGUCCCCUCCAAGCUCAUCCGCCAUGCUGACCCUCAACACAAUCCCCUCAGAGGUAUGUACUUAGUCACCUCCUGUACUCCCUGUUCACCCACGACUGUGUGGCCAGGCACGACUUCAACACCAUCAUCAAGUUUGCUUACGACAUGACGGUGGUAGGACUGAUCGCCGACGGCGAUGAACAGCCUACAGGGAGGAGGUCAGAGACGUAGCAGUGUGGUGCCAGGACAACAACCUCUUCCUCAACAUCAGUAAGACCAAGGAGCUGAUCGUGGACUAUAAGAGAAAGAGGUGAGAGCACGGCCCCAUCCACAUCGAAAAGGCUAUUGUGAAGUCGGUCGCGAGCUUCAAGUCCCUUGGUGUCCACACAGUGGAGGCUGCUGGGUGGAGGACGGCUUAUAAUAAUAGCUAGAACAGAGAAAAUUAAAUGGUAUCAAAC
This 851-nucleotide long non-coding RNA is filed under the name Salmo salar (Atlantic salmon). RNAcentral describes it as "lncRNA (ENSSSAG00000076409.2)". Lineage: Eukaryota; Metazoa; Chordata; Actinopteri; Salmoniformes; Salmonidae. The record is from RNAcentral.